AAGUCGUAACAAGGUUUCCGUAGGUGAACCUGCGGAAGGAUCAUUACCGAGUAAGGGCCUCUCAGGCCCGAUCUCCCACCCUUUGUGUACCUACCUUUGUCGCUUUGGCGGGCCCGCUGGGGCAACCCACCGUCGGCUUCGGCUGGCGAGCGCCCGCCAGAGACCAUCCAAACUCUGUUUAUCAGUGUCGUCUGAGAAAAACACAAUAGUUAAA
Molecule: unclassified non-coding RNA, 214 nt
Filed under: plant metagenome
Description: partial contains small subunit ribosomal RNA and internal transcribed spacer 1
Rfam family: Eukaryotic small subunit ribosomal RNA (bases 1-46)
Source: RNAcentral